This 1670-nucleotide ribosomal RNA is filed under the name Escherichia coli. Its description in RNAcentral is "partial 23S ribosomal RNA". It matches the Rfam family "Bacterial large subunit ribosomal RNA", at positions 1371 to 2925 of the family's 2925-position model. The record is from RNAcentral. Lineage: Bacteria; Pseudomonadati; Pseudomonadota; Gammaproteobacteria; Enterobacterales; Enterobacteriaceae.
GUCCCUGGGUGAGUCGGGUCCUAAGGCGAGGCCGACAGGCGUAGUCGAAUGGAUGAACGGGUCGAUAUUCCCGUACCGGCUUUCAGCCGCCAAAACCGAGGCUUGGAGUACUAACCUCCGGGUCCGGGCUUACUGCUCCUUCGGGGGCGGGAUGCCCUGGCCUGUUGGGACCGAUCCUUGUAGUAGGUCAGCGCAGGAGUGACGCAGAAGGGUAGCCGGCCGCGGAGGUGGUCUUCCGUGGUCAAGCACGCAGGGCGUGGGACAGGCAAAUCCGUCCCGCAUGGGUCCGAGGGGCGAUGAUGGGGGCCUUAUAGCCCGAUAUCCGGUGAUCCCGGCUGCCGAGAAAAGCUUCGGCGUCAGGCUCAAAGCCGCCCGUACCCCAAACCGACACUGGUGGUCAGGUAGAGAAUACCAAAGCGAUCGAGCGAAUCCUGGUCAAGGAACUCGGCAAAUCACUCCCGUUCCUUCGGUUUAAGGGAGACCCCCGAUGGUGAACACACUUGCUGUGGGAGCUUUUGGGGGUGGCACAGACCAGGGGGUAGCGACUGUUUACCAAAAACACAGGUGCAUGCGAAGGCGCAAGCCGCUGUAUAUGCACUGACGCCUGCCCGGUGCCGGAAGGUUAAGAGGAUCCGUCAGCCUUCGGGUGAAGCGGUGAAUUCAAGCCCCGGUAAACGGCGGUGGUAACUAUAACCAUCCUAAGGUAGCGAAAUUCCUUGUCGGGUAAGUUCCGACCUGCACGAAUGGCGUAACGACUUCCCCACUGUCUCGACCAGGAGCUCGGCGAAAUUGCAGUACGAGUAAAGAUGCUCGUUAAGCGCAGAAGGACGAAAAGACCCCGGGACCUUUACUAUACCUUGGUAUUGGCAUUCGGUGUGGAUUGUGUAGCAUAGGCGGGAGGCCGAGAGGCGCGGUCGCCAGAUCGCGCGGAGCCGUAAGGUGAAAUACCGCUCUGUUCGCAUUGGAUGUCUAACCUCGAACAGUCAUCCUGUUCAGGGACAGUGCCUGGCGGGUAGUUUAACUGGGGCGGUUGCCUCCCAAAGAGUAACGGAGGCGCCCAAAGGUCCGCUCAGCCCGGUUGGCAAUCGGGUGGCGAGUGCAAGUGCACAAGCGGGCUUGACUGCGAGGACGACGGUCCGAGCAGGGACGAAAGUCGGGACUAGUGAUCCGGUGCCGGUGUACGGACGCGGCAUCGCUCAACGGAUAAAAGGUACCCCGGGGAUAACAGGCUGAUCAUUCCCAAGAGUCCAUAUCGACGGGAUGGUUUGGCACCUCGAUGUCGGCUCGUCGCAUCCUGGGGCUGGAGCAGGUCCCAAGGGUUCGGCUGUUCGCCGAUUAAAGCGGCACGCGAGCUGGGUUCAGAACGUCGUGAGACAGUUUGGUCUCUAUCCUCUGCGCUCGUUGGAAUGCUGAGGAGGCCUGCCCAUAGUACGAGAGGACCUGGGUGGACGAACCUCUGGUAUGCCGGUUGUCACGCCAGUGGCACGGCCGGUUGGCUACGUUCGGAAGGGAUAACCGCUGAAAGCAUCUAAGCGGGAAGCCUGCUCCAAGAUAAGCAUUCCGUGGAACCUUCGAGUUCCUGUAGUCCCCAUGCAGAACACGUGGUCGAUAGGCCGGACGUGGAAGCCCCGCGAGGGGUGGAGCCGACCGGUACUAACGGACGAAAGGCA